Stegodyphus mimosarum is the source of this 70-nucleotide non-coding RNA. NCBI's taxonomy places the organism in Eukaryota, Metazoa, Arthropoda, Arachnida, Araneae, Eresidae. The record is from Rfam.
GCCUUCGUGUAGUGGUCAGCCCGCUCGACGUGUAACCGAGAUGUCCGUGGUUCGAUUCCCGGCGAAGGCG